CGACUCCUUCUUCAACCCGUCUGGGUCCAGCUCCUUCUCUGUCUGGAAUGCCCACGGCAGGAGUGGAGAGUCAAGGGUUUGGAGAGUGAGGUCAGUGGUCCGUGCUCUACUGGAGACUAAUAUCUAAGUCUCAUCCCUCUCUCUGAUCCCGCAUUCCUAUUGUUCCCCCCCCCCCACUUUAUUAAGUAAACAGCCGCCAGCUGAGCGUACCCUGUCCCAGGCCCCUUGGGCUGGAUGCUGACUUCGUCCCCCACCCAGCCCGCAGCCUGCCCCGCCCCACAGGGGCAGCCGCCCUGCUCACCUCCCGGAUGAUGUUCUCCAGUUCCCGCUCCAUGCCAGCCUUCACCUCCGAACGGAGCCUGGCUCGGUCUGACGGGAGCAGUAUUCCUUCCAGUUCCUUCUCAAAUUCUCCCAGUAACUGCUGUUCAUCUUCAUCUUCGUCUUCAUCCUCGUCCUCCUCCUCGUCCUCCUCCACUUCGUUCUGAUGAUCUGCGUCACUCUUCUCCUUCACCUCUGCUUCCUUUUGAGCGACUUCCGUGGCAUCAUCUGCAGGCUUCUCUGGGCCUCCGCCUGGCUUCCCCUGGGUGGACGGGAAUCAGGAGAAAGAGGUGGAUGGUUGAAGUUUCAGCAGAGACACACGGGCUGCAGACGUAAGGUUGCUGAAGUGUGGUAGUGCAGGACUCAGGAGGAAAAAAUAAAGGGAGUCUGCUCGCUCGGCUGGGCUGCCUCCAGGCCCAAGUCAGAGGCAAUUCCCUAAGGGCUCCCAGCCGGGAGGUGGCUCACCCCCUCCCUUGAGCAGGGCACAUACCUUUUUUGUUCCACCUUUCAGCUCCUCUAUCAAUCGGAUCAAGUCUGCAGGACUCCGGAUGACUUUGACCUGCACGUUGUUCUGAAAAUCUGCGAUGAAAGAGCAGGAAUGGACCAGGCAAUUUACUGGAGACAAGAGACGAUUCGCAUCACGGACUUUUAAGCAGAUACAACACUCGCGCUCAUCACAAUAGCAACAGGAGGAGGCGGCUACAAAAUUGUCACAGGAGUACAGUGUGCACUAUGGCUUGUUUUAUGCCCUUAUGAUUUACCACUGCAUCCUCAGGGUGUGUUUACAGUUCUCUCCACUGUGAAUAAUGCCAGGUAUGGUUUAAAGUGCGUGCAUAGGUUUUGAUAAAUUUUAAGAUUUUAUGAUAGAUCUGUGAAUGUUUUAUGGUGGCAAAUAAUAAAAUAGACUACUACCUA
Suricata suricatta (meerkat) is the source of this 1233-nucleotide long non-coding RNA. RefSeq lists it as uncharacterized. The record is from RefSeq and is a predicted model, not a curated record. NCBI's taxonomy places the organism in Eukaryota, Metazoa, Chordata, Mammalia, Carnivora, Herpestidae. The transcript has 2 exons.